This 186-nucleotide non-coding RNA is filed under the name Ovis aries (sheep). RNAcentral's name for it is "Eukaryotic large subunit ribosomal RNA". It matches the Rfam family "Eukaryotic large subunit ribosomal RNA", at positions 2139 to 2325 of the family's 3401-position model. The record is from Rfam by way of RNAcentral. Lineage: Eukaryota; Metazoa; Chordata; Mammalia; Artiodactyla; Bovidae.
AAUGUAUUAAAAUUUUCAUGUAUUCACAAAGGCCCAUAUUGAGUGCUAAUGCAGUAUGAUUUCUGCCUAGUGUUCUGAAUGUCAAAGUGAAGAAAUACAAUGAAGUUCUGGUAAAUGAUGAAAGUAACUAACAAUCUCUCAAGGUAGCCAAAUGCUUUAUCAUCUAAUUAGGAACAUGAAGAGGCU